RNAcentral lists this ribosomal RNA (503 nucleotides) under uncultured bacterium. RNAcentral's name for it is "partial 16S ribosomal RNA". It matches the Rfam family "Bacterial small subunit ribosomal RNA", at positions 355 to 853 of the family's 1533-position model. The record is from RNAcentral.
UAAGGAAUAUUGGUCAAUGGACGCAAGUCUGAACCAGCCAUGCCGCGUGAAGGAUUAAGGUCCUCUGGAUUGUAAACUUCUUUUUAUCUGGGACGAAAAAAGGCGAUUCUUCGUCACUUGACGGUACCAGAUGAAUAAGCGCCGGCUAACUCCGUGCCAGCAGCCGCGGUAAUACGGAGGGUGCAAGCGUUAUCCGGAUUCACUGGGUUUAAAGGGUGCGUAGGCGGGGCAGGUAAAGUCAGUGGUGAAAAUCCUGGAGCUUAACUCCAGAACUGCCAUUGAUACUAUCUGUCUUGAAUAUUGUGGAGGUAAGCGGAAUAUGUCAUGUAGCGGUGAAAUGCUUAGAUAUGACAUAGAACACCUAUUGCGAAGGCAGCUUACUACGCAUAUAUUGACGCUGAGGCACGAAAAGCGUGGGGAUCAAACAGGAUUAGAUACCCUGGUAGUCCACGCCCUAAACGAUGGAUACUCGACAUACGCGAUACACUGUGUGUGUCUGAGCG